GAUGAACGCUGGCGGCGUGCCUAAUACAUGCAAGUCGAGCGAACCACUUCGGUGGUGAGCGGCGAACGGGUGAGUAACACGUAGGUGAUCUGCCCAUCAGACGGGGACAACGAUUGGAAACGAUCGCUAAUACCGGAUAGGACGAAAGUUUAAAGGUGCUUCUGGCACCGCUGAUGGAUGAGCCUGCGGCGCAUUAGCUAGUUGGUAGGGUAAAGGCCGACCAAGGCGACGAUGCGUAGCCGACCUGAGAGGGUGAACGGCCACACUGGGACUGAGACACGGCCCAGACUCCUACGGGAGGCAGCAGUAGGGAAUCUUCGGCAAUGGGCGAAAGCCUGACCGAGCAACGCCGCGUGAAUGAUGAAGGCCUUCGGGUUGUAAAAUUCUGUUAUAAGGGAAGAACGACUUUAGUAGGAAAUGGCUAGAGUGUGACGGUACCUUAUGAGAAAGCCACGGCUAACUACGUGCCAGCCGCCGCUGUAA
RNAcentral lists this ribosomal RNA (483 nucleotides) under uncultured bacterium. Its description in RNAcentral is "partial 16S ribosomal RNA". It matches the Rfam family "Bacterial small subunit ribosomal RNA", at positions 28 to 523 of the family's 1533-position model. The record is from RNAcentral.